This 496-nucleotide ribosomal RNA is filed under the name uncultured bacterium. RNAcentral describes it as "partial 16S ribosomal RNA". It matches the Rfam family "Bacterial small subunit ribosomal RNA", at positions 28 to 506 of the family's 1533-position model. The record is from RNAcentral.
GAUGAACGCUGGCGGCGUGCCUAAUACAUGCAAGUCGAGCGAACGGACGAGAAGCUUGCUUCUCUGAUGUUAGCGGCGGACGGGUGAGUAACACGUGGAUAACCUACCUAUAAGACUGGGAUAACUUCGGGAAACCGGAGCUAAUACCGGAUAAUAUUUUGAACCGCAUGGUUCAAAAGUGAAAGACGGUCUUGCUGUCACUUAUAGAUGGAUCCGCGCUGCAUUAGCUAGUUGGUAAGGUAACGGCUUACCAAGGCAACGAUGCAUAGCCGACCUGAGAGGGUGAUCGGCCACACUGGAACUGAGACACGGUCCAGACUCCUACGGGAGGCAGCAGUAGGGAAUCUUCCGCAAUGGGCGAAAGCCUGACGGAGCAACGCCGCGUGAGUGAUGAAGGUCUUCGGAUCGUAAAACUCUGUUAUUAGGGAAGAACAUAUGUGUAAGUAACUGUGCACAUCUUGACGGGACCUAAUCAGAAAGCCACGGCGAACUACGU